CCCUUAGACGUUCUGGGCCGCACGCGCGCUACACUGACCAGUGCAACAAGCAUCCGUCCUUGGCCGACAGGCUCGGGCAAUCUUUGAACGCUGGUCGUGAUGGGGAUAGACUUUUGCAAUUUUUGGUCUUCAACGAGGAAUUCCUAGUAAACGCAAGUCAUCAACUUGCAUUGACUACGUCCCUGCCCUUUGUACACACCGCCCGUCGCACCUACCGAUUGAAUGGUCCGGUGAAGCCUCCGGAUUGGCGCGCACCUCGGUGCCGCCGAGAAGUUGGCUAAACCUUACCAUUUAGAGGAAGGUGAAGUCGUAACA
RNAcentral lists this ribosomal RNA (315 nucleotides) under uncultured eukaryote. RNAcentral describes it as "partial 18S ribosomal RNA". It matches the Rfam family "Eukaryotic small subunit ribosomal RNA", at positions 1470 to 1796 of the family's 1831-position model. The record is from RNAcentral.